This 75-nucleotide antisense RNA is filed under the name Streptomyces sp. CB02056. RNAcentral describes it as "ASpks TB sRNA". It matches the Rfam family "ASpks TB sRNA". Lineage: Bacteria; Bacillati; Actinomycetota; Actinomycetes; Kitasatosporales; Streptomycetaceae. The record is from Rfam by way of RNAcentral.
CUUCAACGACCCGAGCCAGAGCGGCUGUUCGGCCGGUCGGCCCUGCCCGUAGGUGGCCAGCACCGCCUGCGCCUC